AUGUUCUAGACAGAGGUUAAUAUUCCUACUACAUGAAAAACUAAAAAUUAAGGAGCAAAGUAACAAAAACUUGAUAGAAAAAAAUGGGGAAAGAAAUGAUCACACUCAAAUAUAUAAAAAUGAACCAUAAACAUGAAAAACAUAUAAACUCAUGGGUAGAGAAAUCCGAGCUAAAAUGAUACUGGGAGGGGGCUGGGGAUGGAGCUCAGUAGAAGAGCACUUUCUGGGCAAGUUCAAGCCCCUUGGUUCAGUCCCUAGCACCAUGUAAUACCAUUUAGUAUCUGUUAUUGGGCUGCUGAAAGCUAAGAAAGUAUGACAGCAUGUCCUGUUAAGCAAGUCUGUAGAGAAGCAGCCCUUCUCAUUGCUGGUGGAAAUGCAAAUGGAAACCACCUACCAUAGUUUGGAUCUUGAAUUCCCCCAAAGGCCUGUGUUUUAAAGACUUAAUCACCAGCCUGUGGCACUACUGGGAGGUGGUGGAACCUUUAGUAGGUGGGUUCUAGUGGACAGAAGUCAGAUUGUGUGCCCUUGAAAGGGCUCUUGGGACCCUGGUUGCUUUCUGCUUCCUGGCUGCCAGGAGGUGAGCAGCUUUCUCUACUACAUACUCCUCCAUGACGUAUUGCCUUGUCAUAGGCCCAAAGGAAUGUGACCAAAUGACCAUGGAAUGAAACCUCUGAAGUGAUGAGACAAACUUUUCCUCCUUAGAGUUGAUUAUCUUAGCUGUUUUGUCACAAUGAUGAUAAACUGACUAGCAUAACUCCUUCUGUAGGGGAAUUUGUAUAUUAUUUCCAGAACCCCCUGGGAUACCAAAAUUUGUAGAUGCUCAAGUCCCUUAUAUAGCAUCCUCUUGCAUUUUAAAAAAAUUGUCCUGGGGAUUGAAUCUGGGACCUUGAGCAUAUUAGACAACUGCUCUGUCAAUGCCCUAUGUCCCCAGUCCUUUUAAAAAACUUUAUUUUGAGAUAGGAUCUUGCAAUUCUGCUUCAACCUCCUGAAUAGCUGUAAUUAUAGGCAUGCACCACCACGCUGGCUUGCUCUUCCAUAUUUUAUUAUAUUUAUUUUUAGUUUUUAAAUUUAACAUGUGAAGACUUAAAUUAUAAUGAUAGGGUAGCACAGUUUUUUUUUGAUACAUAUGUAAAUUGUGUAAUGAUUAAGUCGGGUUAAAUAUUUAUCACUUAUUUAUUUUUGUAGUUGUAGGUGGACAGCAUGCCGUUAUUUUAUUUGGUCAUU
This 1224-nucleotide long non-coding RNA is filed under the name Marmota monax (woodchuck). The record is from RNAcentral. Lineage: Eukaryota; Metazoa; Chordata; Mammalia; Rodentia; Sciuridae.